GCACAAGCAGUGGAGUAUGUGGUUUAAUUCGAAGCAACGCGAAGAACCUUACCAGGUCUUGACAUCCGAUGCAUAGCACAGAGAUGUGUGAAAUCCUUCGGGACGUCGAGACAGGUGGUGCAUGGUUGUCGUCAGCUCGUGUCGUGAGAUGUUGGGUUAAGUCCCGCAACGAGCGCAACCCUUAUUGCCAGUUACUACGUUAAGAGGACUCUGGCGAGACUGCCGUUGACAAAA
Molecule: ribosomal RNA, 234 nt
Filed under: uncultured bacterium
Lineage: Bacteria
Description: partial 16S ribosomal RNA
Rfam family: Bacterial small subunit ribosomal RNA
Source: RNAcentral